GAAAUUGGUAAACGCUACGGACUUAAUUGGAUUGAGCCUUGGUAUAGAAACUUACUAAGUGAAAACUUUCAAAUUCAUCUAUCCUUU
Molecule: long non-coding RNA, 87 nt
Organism: Populus euphratica (Euphrates poplar)
Lineage: Eukaryota; Viridiplantae; Streptophyta; Magnoliopsida; Malpighiales; Salicaceae
Exons: 3
Source: RefSeq, a predicted model, not a curated record